AGUGGUGUGCGUGCUAAGUUGCUUCAGUCAUGUCCGACUAUUGGCGACCCCAUGGACUGUAGCCCGUCAGGCUCCUCUGCCCAUGGGAUUCUCCAGGCAAGAAUACUGGAGUGGGUUGCCAUUUCCUCCUCGAGGGGAUCUUCCCAAACCAGGGAUCGAACCUGCAUCUCUUCUGUCUCUUGGCAGGUGGGUUCUUUACCAUUAGCACCACCUGGGAAGCCCUUUAAAGUGGCAAAGGCCUAUAAUCAGCCCAUUCUGACUUAAUUAUAUGAUACCAUUAUUACGUUUUCAUAUUUUUCUAAAAGUAGAAGAUAACUCAGCAUAAAAUUCCAUAAAAAAUCAGCAUAUGGUUCACUGUUAAAUGCAUAUUUCAUUUGGCAAAGUACUGCCAGACAGCCCUUCAGCAUGGCUGCCGAAAUCUACACUCCCAGGAGCCAUGCAGGUGGGUUUGUAGGUCCUUACAGCUUCAUCAGCACUGGGCAUUAUCCUGUUUUCUAAUUUUGUCAGUCUCAUAAAUGUAAAGUCAGAUCUCACUGUUAUGUUAACUUCUCAGAUUUCCAAUAUCUUGAAUACCUUGUCAUAUACGCUCUUGGCUUUUCAAAUUUCUUCUUCGGUAAACUGUCUAUUCUGUGCUUUGCUCAACUAGUGGUGGUGUUUUUUUUUUUGUUGAUUCACAGAAAGUCCUUGGAUGUUCUAGAUAUUAAAUCCUUUGUUGAUUUAAACAUUGCAAAUAUCUUCUCCCAAUCUGUAGAUUAUCUUUUACCUUUUUCCCGUGUCUUUCAUCAAGCACAAAUCCUUUAAUUUGAUGUAAUCAAAUCAAUCAACUCUUUACCAUAUGAAUUAUAGUCUUGCACUUUUAUCUAAUAAGUCAUUCCAAGCCCCUAGGUCACAAAGAUAUCCUCCUAUAAUUCUUCUUAUUAACAUUAGAGUUUUAUCUUUCACAUUUAGGUCCUCUAUCUAGAGUCCAUUUUUUGUAUGUGGCAUGAGGUAGGGGUCUGUUUUUAUUUUUCUCCAAGUCAUGAGCCAGGUUUUUAAACACCUUCAAAAAAGAAACUGUCCUUUCUCCAUUGAUCUGUUAUACGCUAGGUUCCUUUAUAUCCACAGGUCUGCAUUUAUACUGUUCUAUUGGUCUACUUUUCCAUUUUUGUGCUAAUGCCACAGUUUAUAUUACUGAAUUCAAAGAAACAAGAAAGAAACAAUGGUAAGGCAGAAAUAAAUGCCAUAGAGAACAACAGACA
Molecule: long non-coding RNA, 1238 nt
Organism: Bos taurus (domestic cattle)
Lineage: Eukaryota; Metazoa; Chordata; Mammalia; Artiodactyla; Bovidae
Source: Ensembl